RNAcentral lists this ribosomal RNA (331 nucleotides) under uncultured eukaryote. RNAcentral describes it as "partial 18S ribosomal RNA". It matches the Rfam family "Eukaryotic small subunit ribosomal RNA", at positions 1469 to 1796 of the family's 1831-position model. The record is from RNAcentral.
ACCCUUCGAUGUUCUGGGCCGCACGCGCGCUACACUGAUGCGUUCAGCAAGCUCUCUAACCUUCACCGAUAGGUGUGGGUAAUCUUCUGAAAGCGCAUCGUGUUUGGGCUAGAUUAUUGCAAUUAUUAAUCUUCAACGAGGAAUGCCUAGUAGGCGCAAGUCAUCAGCUUGCGUCGAUUACGUCCCUGCCCUUUGUACACACCGCCCGUCGCUCCUACCGAUUGAAUGUGUUGGUGAGGAGCUCGGAUUGGCAGCAGUUGGUGGUUCGCCACCGGCUAUUGCUGAGAAGUCCUCCAAACCGCCCCAUUUAGAGGAAGGAGAAGUCGUAACA